UGGGGAAUAUUGCGCAAUGGGCGAAAGCCUGACGCAGCGACGCCGCGUGAGGGAUGAAGGUUUUCGGAUCGUAAACCUCUGUCAGAAGGGAAGAAACCGCACUGUGCUAAUCAGCAGUGCCUUGACGGUACCUUCAAAGGAAGCACCGGCUAACUCCGUGCCAGCAGCCGCGGUAAUACGGAGGGUGCAAGCGUUAAUCGGAAUUACUGGGCGUAAAGCGCACGUAGGCUGCUUUGUAAGUCAGGGGUGAAAUCCCACGGCUCAACCGUGGAACUGCCUUUGAUACUGCUUAGCUUGAAUCCGGGAGAGGGUGGCGGAAUUACAGAUGUAGGAGUGAAAUCCGUAGAUAUCUGGAGGAACAUCAGUGGCGAAGGCGGCCACCUGGACCGGUAUUGACGCUGAGGUGCGAAAGCGUGGGGAGCAAACAGG
This 429-nucleotide ribosomal RNA is filed under the name Fusobacteriota bacterium. RNAcentral's name for it is "Fusobacteria bacterium partial 16S ribosomal RNA". It matches the Rfam family "Bacterial small subunit ribosomal RNA", at positions 355 to 776 of the family's 1533-position model. Lineage: Bacteria; Fusobacteriati; Fusobacteriota. The record is from RNAcentral.